RNAcentral lists this unclassified non-coding RNA (391 nucleotides) under soil metagenome. Its description in RNAcentral is "partial contains 5.8S ribosomal RNA, internal transcribed spacer 2, and large subunit ribosomal RNA". The stretch from base 1 to 122 matches the Rfam family "5.8S ribosomal RNA", at positions 35 to 154 of the family's 154-position model. The record is from RNAcentral.
GAUGAAGAACGUAGCGAAAUGCGAUACUUGGGGUGAAUUGCAGAAUCCCGUGAACCAUCGAGUCUUUGAACGCAAGUUGCGCCCGAAGCCAUUAGGCCGAGGGCACGCCUGCCUGGGUGUCACACGUCGUUGCCCCCCCAUCUACUCCUUCGGGAUUGCGGGGGGCGGAUGAUGGCCUCCCGUGCGCCUCGUCGCGCGGUUGGCAUAAAUGCCAAGUCCUCGGCGACGCACGCCACGACAAUCGGUGGUUGCGAAACCUCGGUUGCCCGUCGUGUGCGGUCGUCGCGCAUCGAGGGCUCGAAAAAAUUGCCGGGCUCCGGCUCGGCUUUCAACGCGACCCCAGGUCAGGCGGGGUUACCCGCUGAAUUUAAGCAUAUCAAUAAGCGGAGGA